Molecule: antisense RNA, 127 nt
Filed under: uncultured Vibrio sp.
Lineage: Bacteria; Pseudomonadati; Pseudomonadota; Gammaproteobacteria; Vibrionales; Vibrionaceae
Description: Vibrio regulatory RNA of OmpA
Rfam family: Vibrio regulatory RNA of OmpA
Source: RNAcentral
CAGGGAUUUAAAGAGUUUUUCUGGCCGUCAAACUUGAUUUUAUACUGCGACUACAGUUCAAGCUGCUUUUUCAUAUUAACUCCUGUGUUUGUAUCUGCCCAGAACCUAUUUGUUCUGGGCUUUUUUU